GACGAACGCUGGCGGCGUGCUUAACACAUGCAAGUCGAACGGAAAGGCCUGCUUUCCCUUGUGGAUUGCGGGUACUCGAGUGGCGAACGGGUGAGUAACACGUGAGUGAUCUGCCCCCAACUUGGGUAUAAGCCUGGGAAACUGGGUCUAAUUCCCGAUAGGACUGCAGGGUGGUGCCUGUGGUGGAAAACGAUUUUCUAGUGGUUGGGGAUGAGCUCGCGGCCUAUCAGCUUGUUGGUGGGGUAAUGGCCUACCAAGGCGGCGACGGGUAGCCGGCCUGAGAGGGUGGACGGGCACAUUGGGACUGAGAUACGGCCCAGACUCCUACGGGAGGCAGCAGUGGGGAAUAUGGCACAAUGGGCGGAAGCCUGAUGCAGCGACGCCGCGUGGGGGAUGACGGCCUUCGGGUGGUAAACUCCUUUCGACCGAGAGGAAGCCACCUGGUUGGAAGGGUGGUGACGGUAGUGGUAGAAGAAGCACCGGCUAACUACGUG
Molecule: ribosomal RNA, 494 nt
Filed under: uncultured bacterium
Lineage: Bacteria
Description: partial 16S ribosomal RNA
Rfam family: Bacterial small subunit ribosomal RNA
Source: RNAcentral